UACGGGGGGAGCAAGCGUUUGUUCGGAUUUACUGGGCGUAAAGGGCGCGUAGGCGGUCGUGACAAGUCACUUGUGAAAUCUCCGGGCUUAACUCGGAACGGUCAAGUGAUACUGUCGGACUAGAGUACAGAAGGGGCAACUGGAAUUCUCGGUGUAGCGGUAGAAAUGCGUAGAUAUCGAGAGGAACACCUGCGGCGAAGGCGGGUUGCUGGGCUGACACUGACGCUGAAGCGCGGAAAGCUAGGGGAGCAAACGGG
RNAcentral lists this ribosomal RNA (257 nucleotides) under uncultured bacterium. RNAcentral's name for it is "partial 16S ribosomal RNA". It matches the Rfam family "Bacterial small subunit ribosomal RNA", at positions 524 to 776 of the family's 1533-position model. The record is from RNAcentral.